Molecule: ribosomal RNA, 235 nt
Filed under: Aspergillus protuberus
Lineage: Eukaryota; Fungi; Ascomycota; Eurotiomycetes; Eurotiales; Aspergillaceae
Description: partial 28S ribosomal RNA
Rfam family: Eukaryotic large subunit ribosomal RNA
Source: RNAcentral
GGUUGACCUCGGAUCAGGUAGGGAUACCCGCUGAACUUAAGCAUAUCAAUAAGCGGAGGAAAAGAAACCAACCGGGAUUGCCCCAGUAACGGCGAGUGAAGCGGCAAGAGCUCAAAUUUGAAAUCUGGCCCCUCCGGGGUCCGAGUUGUAAUUUGCAGAGGAUGCUUCGGGUGCGGCCCCUGUCUAAGUGCCCUGGAACGGGCCGUCAGAGAGGGUGAGAAUCCCGUCUUGGGCA